This is a non-coding RNA of Heteronotia binoei (common prickly gecko), 122 nucleotides long. RefSeq annotates it as small Cajal body-specific RNA 11. The transcript has a single exon. The record is from RefSeq and is a predicted model, not a curated record. Lineage: Eukaryota; Metazoa; Chordata; Lepidosauria; Squamata; Gekkonidae.
UCGGCACGUCCCCUACGCAGCUCUGGCUGAGUUUGGCGGGCGCUGCAGAGUAGUGCCGUUCUUUCUUGGCUUUAAGGGAUUGGGGGAGCUCCCCCAACCCCUUAAAGCCAAGAAAGAACACU